AUGACAAUGUUCAAGAAUGAGAUAUGAUAUUUUCUAUAGUAUGUGACUAGAGAAGUUUUUCUGAUUAUGCAGAGCACCAGAAAUCAUGAGGAGGAGCCAGAGCGUCCUCUCCUGAUCGUGAAGCUGGCUCUAGGUGUUGCUUCUGCGACUGCCUUAGGCCAUUGAUGAUUUUUCUCCCUUUUCUCUGGAAAGGGUAGAGGGAGAGGAUGCAGUCUGAGUGGA
Molecule: small nucleolar RNA, 222 nt
Organism: Suncus etruscus (white-toothed pygmy shrew)
Lineage: Eukaryota; Metazoa; Chordata; Mammalia; Eulipotyphla; Soricidae
Product: small nucleolar RNA U3
Exons: 1
Source: RefSeq, a predicted model, not a curated record